RNAcentral lists this ribosomal RNA (433 nucleotides) under uncultured bacterium. Its description in RNAcentral is "partial 16S ribosomal RNA". It matches the Rfam family "Bacterial small subunit ribosomal RNA", at positions 29 to 507 of the family's 1533-position model. The record is from RNAcentral.
AACGAACGCUGGCGGCAUGCUUAACACAUGCAAGUCGAACGAAACGUUCGGGCUUAGUGGCGAACGGGUGCGUAAAGGGUGGGGACCUGCCCUUAGGAUCGGAAUAACUCCCCGAAAUGGGUGCUAAUAACUGAUAAUGUCUUCGGACCAGAGCUUUAUCGCCUUUGGAUGGGCCCGCGUUGGAUUCGCUAGUUGGUAGGGUAAUAGCCUACCAAGGCGACGGUCCAUUGCUGGUCUGGGAGGAUGACCAGCCACACUGGGGCUGAGACACGGCCCAGUCUCCGACGGAGGGCAGCAGAGGGGAAUAUUAGGCGAGGGGGGAAAGUCUGAUCCAGCAGCGCGGCGGAAGUGAUGAAGGGCUUAGGGAUGUAAAGUUCUUUUACCCGGGAUGAUAAUGACGGUACCGGGAGAAUAAGCUCCGGCUAACUCCGUG